Molecule: long non-coding RNA, 1218 nt
Filed under: Zea mays
Lineage: Eukaryota; Viridiplantae; Streptophyta; Magnoliopsida; Poales; Poaceae
Description: long non-coding RNA (ZMAY_LNC000577)
Source: RNAcentral
GAAAAAGAAAAGAAAAAUGGCAAACGCAGACUUGAGUGUGAGAAUGUGUGAGUGUGUGUGUGUGUGUGUGAUAUAUAUUGGUGGCGGUCCCUUCCUCCUAGUUGUCCUCUCCUUCCCCGUCUUGCGGUGGCGCCGGUUCCGGCGGUUGCUCGUCGGCUGCCAUGUCCGGCAGCGUAUCCUGGGACGGGCUCUUCUUCAUCAUGUGGCUGUAGCUCCCCUUCUCCAUGAACAGCUGCGCGAAGUGGAUCUUGCAGUACAGAACGCCGUUGAGCGCGGCGUAGGAGGAGGUGGUGAGGAUGCAGCCCCCGUGCGAGCACUUGAAGCAGCUCUUGUGGUAGGACUCGCCUUCCAGAGUUAACUGAAGAAGAGAACAAUUUUGUUAGCAUUACUACAUACGCUGCCAUUAGAAUCUAGUUAUUAGUUGGGGAAGAGAAAUUAUUGAUCGUUAUUAAUGUUUCCCACGAGUGUGUCAGGUUCGUGUUAUUAGGUCUUGGGAAGUUCUUAAAGAUCAUCAUUUCUGUACCUUCUCCAGCGGGUACACUGUUUUCUGGCAAGCUGCACACUUAUCCUGAGUACCAGAAAACGCAGAUGAUAGCUUGCUGGGGGCCCUUGUCUGCAAAGUGCAAAUGGAUUCCAACAGUUUGUUUGGCAAACAAUGAUCCAGUUAUUACUACAAUAUAGAAACCAAGACAUCCCAGAAACAAUCACGACGAGAUACUAGUUUCCGUGAGGCUAGGCUGUAUGUACCAGUUCACCCUUGUCUGAAGACUUGCCACCUGAAUGAAGCACACAAGAAAGCUUUCAGACAGAGCACACACUGCUGUGGGAACUGAACGCCACGCCCACGUCGUAGCGUAGCUACAUUACCUGGCGUGAAGUUCUUGGAGAAGCUCCCGGUCUCCUUGAAGAGCUGCUCGAAGUGGGUCUUGCAGUACAGCACACCGUCCAUGGAAGAGUAGCUGCACAUCUGCAGGCGGCCAUCAAACGGUUUAUUUGCAGCGUCAGAAACUCUUUAACUCGGCCGUUUUUUUCUUCUUUCCCAUGGCAUGCAGACAUGGCAUUUGGAUGCACGCACGUACGGCACGACGUACCGAGAGGAUCCCUUUGCAGUGGCUGCACUUGAAGCAUGUCUUAUGGUAGGUGACGCCGUCGGCCGUGAGGAGGUCGAUGAAGUGGACGGUCUUGUCGCACUCCGCGCACUUGUCCUGCGUGCCGGUG